Long non-coding RNA from Vicia villosa (hairy vetch), 1036 nucleotides. RefSeq lists it as uncharacterized. The record is from RefSeq and is a predicted model, not a curated record. The transcript has 4 exons. NCBI's taxonomy places the organism in Eukaryota, Viridiplantae, Streptophyta, Magnoliopsida, Fabales, Fabaceae.
AACCAGUCUAGCCAGAACAUUCAAUUCCUGCUAGUGUUUCUAUUCAAUCUGCUAACAGUGGCUUAACUUAUCCGGUGGGAAAGAAAUUGAGAAAGGUAGAAGGUUUGUACUUCGUGCCCCAGUAUAAGACGGAGAGUGAGAAUGAUGAUGAGGAUGACAAAGCGUUGGUGGUAUCCAGCACUGGAAAACACUUCACUUGUGAUGACCUUUAUCUAAGUGACAGUGAUGAUUCCUAUGUUGACCUUGAUUUUGAAGUGCAACCUUAUCUGAUGAAUAAAGUUGGGGAGGUAGAAGGUGCCUUGAUUGAGUUGGCACACGAACAUCAUUUAAGGGUUACCGAUGAAGUCAGGAAUAAGAUAUCAGCUUUGAAGACAGCUCUACUGAAUGAAAGUCAGAACUCUCUUUCUUCCCUUCUUCGAGUUGAGAAAUACAAAGAAACCAAGCAGGAGUUGGAUAAAAAGUUUGACACUCAAUAUCAACGCCAAAUGUAAGACUGCAUUCUUUCGUCAUGUCCCCUUUAUCUUUUCUUUUCAAGGCAACAUGAUUCCUUCAUUCUACAAUAUAUUUAUUGUCAGAUUUAAGAAGUAAGCAUUGACUAUGAAUUGUAGGCUCCUCUAGAAUUGUCUACAUUCUUAAUAUGCUUUAUAAGAGGUCAAAUAAUGGGUUAUUUAGUAUGACGGUGCUUUAGCAGCAGCACAUAUUUAAGAUAGAGAUUAGUUAUUCAUUAUUUAUUGAUAAUCUAGAAUGUGUAUCAUCUAGAAACACAUAUGAGACACGAGACAGCAAGCAUAAGAAUCAUUCAUCCAAUGCCUCAUGUGACAUGCAGUCAUGCAUAUAGGUUAAAAAGGAAAAGAAAAUUAAAAAAGUUAUUGAAUUAUUUUAGUAUUUUAAAUGUAAGACUCUUUUUAAGGUCGUCAUAUUUUAUUUUCACUUUAUCGUUUACUUAAACUAGAAGUUAAAACUGUUCUUAAGAAAACAUAUACGUAUACUAUUGCUUAUUCUAGUGUAAAUUAUAUAACCUUGUUUUUAUUAGUAC